UAUGGAAGGGAACAGGCCCACAGUGA
This 26-nucleotide non-coding RNA is filed under the name Homo sapiens (human). The record is from RNAcentral. Lineage: Eukaryota; Metazoa; Chordata; Mammalia; Primates; Hominidae.